GGAGAUGGUAAUUUAUUGUUGGUAUUUUUCAGCUUCAUGAUACAAAAGAACAACAAUCUGUCAUAAGUUUGUUAACACAUUACCAUUUGAAAAAUUAAGGUUUCCUUGAACUUGGUAGGUUUGCAGUCUUAUAGAGGUUCAAAAAUACAGUAUGUCUUUUAAGCUGAAGAAUUAUUGUCUUUCAGUCUGAAGGAAGUAUUUAUUUAUGAACAACUGAAACAUACAUGCAGAAGUAUUUAUUUAUGAAUAACAAAAUAAGUAACUUGUACUUUCAGAAGUGACUGUGACUUUCGCAUAGUCUUUUUACUGCAAUAUCUUUAAAAUCAGUAUCAUCCAUAUAAUCUCUAGGUAGGCUUGGGUACUACAUGUUUCCAUCAUUUUUCAUG
This 386-nucleotide unclassified non-coding RNA is filed under the name Hevea brasiliensis (rubber tree). Lineage: Eukaryota; Viridiplantae; Streptophyta; Magnoliopsida; Malpighiales; Euphorbiaceae. The record is from RNAcentral.